Molecule: long non-coding RNA, 681 nt
Filed under: Pan troglodytes (chimpanzee)
Lineage: Eukaryota; Metazoa; Chordata; Mammalia; Primates; Hominidae
Description: long non-coding RNA NONPTRT017114
Source: RNAcentral
AAAGAGUAUGAUAAGAAAAGACUCCACUAUUCUAGAGAAAAUUAAGGAAUGCAAAAAUAGAAGACAACUGGAAACCCAGAAAAAACGUACAAUAAAAUAAGUAAAUAUGAGUACUUGGCUUUGAAAUAUAAAAUAGUCAUAAUAAUACAAACACAUUUGUAGAUUUUCAGCUUUUUGAAUGAAUUCAUAGAAAAAAAAUAAAGACAAGUUGAUGGGUGCAGCACACCAACAUGGCACAUGUAUACAUAUGUAACAAACCUGCACAUUGUGCACAUGUACCCUAAAACUUAAAAGUAUAAUUAAAAAAAAAGCAUAAAGUUAAUUUUAAUCAAUACAAAUAUCUAAGAUGUAAAAGUAAACAUAAAUAUGGUUGAAUUUAGUUUCUUUAGCAAUGAGGGAGAUAAAGGUAGAUUUAAUUCAUUAGAGCAAGAACAGUCUUAGUUUUGAAGUGAACAUUUUUCUCAUGUGCUUUAAUUGUUAUCCAAAAUAACUACUUUUUAAGAAUAUCAGGUAGGAAAAAAAUCAGAAAUUAAAAUGUUGCUUCUAUCCUUAUUAGCUUUCUCAUGUAAAUGUGAAACUCAUGGGUUAUUUCUCAAAAGUUAAAAAUUACUCAACUAUUUUAUAGGAGGUAUUCUCAUUCUUUAAUUGGCCAAUGUUAGGUUUUAAAAGGCUUGAGUGAAA